RNAcentral lists this microRNA precursor (61 nucleotides) under Caenorhabditis elegans. Its description in RNAcentral is "Cel-Mir-248-v1_pre stem-loop". Lineage: Eukaryota; Metazoa; Nematoda; Chromadorea; Rhabditida; Rhabditidae. The record is from RNAcentral.
AGCGGUAUCCAGCCGAUGUUUUCAAUACUGCAUUUGAAUACACGUGCACGGAUAACGCUCA